UUUAGUUAGAUUUUUUCUAGU
RNAcentral lists this small nuclear RNA (21 nucleotides) under Arabidopsis thaliana (thale cress). RNAcentral describes it as "snRNA_04519". Lineage: Eukaryota; Viridiplantae; Streptophyta; Magnoliopsida; Brassicales; Brassicaceae. The record is from RNAcentral.